This is a microRNA precursor of Oryza sativa Japonica Group (Japanese rice), 199 nucleotides long. It matches the Rfam family "MIR812 microRNA precursor family". The record is from Rfam. NCBI's taxonomy places the organism in Eukaryota, Viridiplantae, Streptophyta, Magnoliopsida, Poales, Poaceae.
AAAAAGGCAAACCCUGGGUUUCCGUGUCCAACUUUAACUGUCUGUCUUAUAUGAAAUUUUUUUAUAAUUCGUAUUUUCAUUGUUGUUAAAUGAUAAAACAUGAUUAAUAUUUUAUGUGUGACUUGUCUUUUUAAUUUUUUUCAUAAUUUUUUUAAAUAAGACGGACGGUUAAAUGUUGGGAAUCACGGUUUGCCUUUUU